UACAGAGGGUGCAAGCGUUAAUCGAAAUUACUGGGCGUAAAGGGUGCGUAGGUGGUUUGAUAAGUUAGAUGUGAAAUUCCUGGGCUCAACCUGGGGACUGCGUCUGAUACUGUCAGGCUAGAGUUCUGUAGAGGAAGGUGGAAUUUCCGGAGUAGCGGUGAAAUGCGUAGAUAUCGGAAGGAACAUCGGUGGCGAAAGCGGCCUUCUGGACAGGAACUGACACUGAGGCACGAAAGCGUGGGGAGCAAACAGG
Molecule: ribosomal RNA, 253 nt
Filed under: uncultured bacterium
Lineage: Bacteria
Description: partial 16S ribosomal RNA
Rfam family: Bacterial small subunit ribosomal RNA
Source: RNAcentral